This 203-nucleotide unclassified non-coding RNA is filed under the name Hevea brasiliensis (rubber tree). Lineage: Eukaryota; Viridiplantae; Streptophyta; Magnoliopsida; Malpighiales; Euphorbiaceae. The record is from RNAcentral.
AUAAAUUAAACAAUACUGAAUAGGGAAUAAGUAAACAGAAAAGAUCCCGAUAACUUUAAUUGUUCCAAAGUUUAAUAAAUAUGUAAACAAUUCAAAAUUUAUAAAAAUUACACAUAGAAUAGUUAUUUUAAUUAUUCUGCUAUUUUUAUUUGAAUUUAUGCACUCGCUUAGCGCGUUGAUUUUCCAUCGCGUAGGUACUGGAG